ACACAUGCAAGUCGAGGGGCAGCAUGAUUGAAGCUUGCUUCAAUUGAUGGCGACCGGCGCACGGGUGAGUAACGCGUAUCCAACCUUCCGUACACUCAGGGAUAGCCUUUCGAAAGAAAGAUUAAUACCUGAUGGUAUGAUGAGAUUGCAUGAUAGCAUCAUUAAAGAUUUAUCGGUGUACGAUGGGGAUGCGUUCCAUUAGGUAGUAGGCGGGGUAACGGCCCACCUAGCCUACGAUGGAUAGGGGUUCUGAGAGGAGGGUCCCCCACAUUGGAACUGAGACACGGUCCAAACUCCUACGGGAGGCAGCAGUGAGGAAUAUUGGUCAAUGGACGAGAGUCUGAACCAGCCAAGUAGCGUGAAGGAUGAAGGUCUUACGGAUUGUAAACUUCUUUUAUAAGGGAAUAAAACCUCCCACGUGUGGGAGCUUGUAUGUACCUUAUGAAUAAGCAUCGGCUAACUCCGUGCCAGCAGCCGCGGUAAUACGGAGGAUGCGAGCGUUAUCCGGAUUUAUUGGGUUUAAAGGGAGCGCAGACGGGUCGUUAAGUCAGCUGUGAAAGUUUGGGGCUCAACCUUAAAAUUGCAGUUGAUACUGGCGUCCUUGAGUGCGGUUGAGGUGUGCGGAAUUCGUGGUGUAGCGGUGAAAUGCUUAGAUAUCACGAAGAACUCCGAUUGCGAAGGCAGCCUGCUAAGCUGCAACUGACAUUGAGGCUCGAAAGUGUGGGUAUCAAACAGGAUUAGAUACCCUGGUAGUCCACACGGUAAACGAUGAAUACUCGCUGUUUGCGAUAUACUGCAAGCGGCCAAGCGAAAGCGUUAAGUAUUCCACCUGGGGAGUACGCCGGCAACGGUGAA
This 855-nucleotide ribosomal RNA is filed under the name uncultured bacterium. Its description in RNAcentral is "bacterial SSU rRNA". It matches the Rfam family "Bacterial small subunit ribosomal RNA", at positions 51 to 898 of the family's 1533-position model. The record is from RNAcentral.